AUGAGUAAGGCUACUAUGCUAUCGGAAGCGCGGAGCCUUCCGUGCUUCCAGCUCGUUUUUGAUGUUGCGACUUUCGAAUCGUCGAUCGGCUCCGUUAAACUUGAUCUAGUGUAUUUGAAGUACCUAGAAAAUAAAUUUUAUGAUUUUUCGAUAUCAUUUGCCUAGUGAUCGAAGGGGCUCAAAAUUAAUAAUUUUAAUGGCCGUAGUGAGCCGUUUGCAAAUUUAACGGUGUAGAAAUAUCCAAAUCGCCUGAAAUUUGGAUAGAAAAUUCUUUAUACUAUAUAAAACAAGAUCAAUAUUUUUGAUGUAAAAUUUUAAUGUCAUAUUAUCACGUUUUAUGAGAUUUUUAUUUUCAGCCGUUGAUUUUGUGUCCCUUGGUUCACUAGGUAAAUAAUAUCGAAAAAUCGCAUAAUUUAUUUUCUAAAUACUUCAAAUACUCUAGAUCAAGUUUAACGGAGCCGAUCGACGAUUCGAAAAUCGCAACAUCGAAAACGAGCUGAAAGCACGGAAGGCUCCGUGCUUCCGAUAGCAUAGUAGCCUUACUCUUUAGCAAUUAAGUUUUAUGAUUUUAUAAGAUCCUAUAUCUAGCGAUCUAGUGAUUGUAAAAUAUUAUUUAAAGUUGUUAAUUUUGUGACUGCACAAAAUUUUGUUCCUAACAAGUUAAGGUGGUGUUUGGUUCAUCAAUUGUUUGCAGUGUCAUCAGUUGUGGACAUCAACAAGGCCUCAAGAUGUAUCAUCAAUUGUUGACUGCUUUGUAUUUCUAACUCUAUGGGCUAGUUUGGUUUAUUAAGGGCGUGUUUAUUUACUCGAAAUUAAAUUUUAGGUUGAAAUGGAGUUCAAGUGAAAGUUACUUUUUGUCGCUGUUUGUUUCGUAGUUAUGGAAGAUGAAAUUUUUUUAGUUAUACUGUUUCUUUGGAAAGAAAUAAAUAACGUAAAAUUAUAAUUUAUGUAUAAAUAAUAAAUAUUGAAUAAAUAAUAAAUUAUAAUAUAAUAAAUAAAAAUAAUAUAAUUAUAUUUCUAUAUAAUUAAAAUUUAUUUAAUCUAAAACAAAUAAAUUAUUUUUUAUAUAUAAAUUAUAAAGUAAAAAAAUAGUAAUACUUAAACUAAUCAAUUUACAUCAUAUUUUAAUGUACAAACUAAGAGAAGAAAAUACUAAAAUUUAAUUGAUUAAUUUUUACCAUAUUUUAAAUAUCCAAACUAAAUUAAAGAGUAAUUAGCAUUAUAAUUAAAUAUAUUUAAUUUAAAUAUAACUACUAUUACUUAUCGAUUGUAUUAUUUUAUUAUUUUUUCUUUACCUUUUUUUUUUUUUUUUUCUGUAAUUGACUACGUCCAGUACGCUGUUUCGGAUAACUCGAGUUUCGACCAUAUCUUUAUUACGAUGAAUCAAACAGUAAAAGUGAUCAUUUACGGCAAAAAAUGAUUCCACCUCUUUUCAUUUUCACCCAAACAAAUAGGCCCUAAACAAAAAUCUUAAUGGACAAUUGAACAUUUAAAUUUUUGAGAGAGGGCGAGAGUACAGAGUGAAUGAGUAACAAAAGAAAAGGAGGUUUUUGUGGGAGAGAAUUUUGAAUGAUUUAUUCUUGAAUGGACCAAUCCAAAAUUUAAAAUCAGAUUGGGCCAUAAUGGAUUGGGUCAUAUUUCCAUUUCAGAGUCCAAUAACAAUCAGAAUUCAAUUUCUAUAAAACAAACAUCAACUAUCAGAAUUAAUGAAUUUCUUUCUAAUUUCAGUCUAAAAUAGGUGAACCAAGCAAACCUUAUAUUUUGAUCUUCAAAAAGUAACAAACUUUGAAGCUUUUUUUUUUUUUAAUUUUUUUUUGUAUAUUUGGUAUAUGAAAAGUAUGAUCAAAUGUUUAGAUAUUGAUACCAUAUUCGCUUUCAAGUUAAUUUUUUUCGAACUAAGAUAGAUAAUUUUAUAGGUGAAAAUUGAUAUUCUACUAAAUUAGAGAUCAAGACUUUUCAAGAAGCAACUGACCAUUUUUAACAUAAGUGACAAAUUGCUCAAUGAUUGGCACCGAAAGUCUCAUAUUUAAAACCUAAUUAUUUUACAUUUUUAACUAAGUUUAUUUAUAAAAUAAAAAAAUUAAAAGUUCAAAAUUUUCAAUUAAAAGAAAUUGGUUCUAUUUUGGAGUAAUAUAAAAUUGACCUUUUACAUAUAUGAAAGUCAAUAAUUUUACUCAAAAUUCAUGCUACUAGCAUAAUUUUCUACAUGGGUUGAAGGGCUUGAUAGGGUUAUUAAAAGCAGUGAGCAACAAAUAUUAGGAUACGUUUGAUUAAGAAAUAAGAGUAACCAAUAUAUAUAUAUAUAUAUAUAUAUAUAUAUAUAUAUAUAUAUAUAUAUAUAUAUAUAUAUAUAAUAUAUAUAUAUAACUUAGGGUUACUAUACUAUCGUAGCACGGAGGCUCCAUGAUACCAAAUUGUUUUCGAUGAUGCGGCUUCCAAAUCGACGAUCGGCUCAGUUAGACUUGAUCUACACUAUUAAAAGUAUUUAGAAACUAAAUCGAUAUCAUUUACCUGUCAAACAAAUAGUCUAAAAUUGAACGGCUGAAAAUAAAAAUCUCAUAAAAAUGAGAUGAUAAAAGAUUUAAAUUCACAGAUCGAAUAUAUUGAUCUUACUCUAAAUAGUGAAAAGAAUUUCUAUAAAAUUUCAUCGCAUUUGGAUUAUUUUACACCGUUAAACUUACAAACACACCACAUCGGCCAUUAAAAUUGUCAAUUUUAAGAUCUUUUGAUCACUAGUCAAAUAAUGUCGAAAAAUUUAAAAUUUAGUUUCCAAAUACUUUCAAUAGUGUAGAUCAAUCUAACGGAGCCAAUCGUCGAUUUGGAAGCCGCAUCAUCGAAAACAACUUGGUAGCACGAAGCCCUCUGUGCUAUCGAUAGUAUAGUAGCCGGACUCUAUAUAUAUAUAUAUAUAUUAUAUAUAUAUAUAUAUAUAUAUAUAUAGAAUUAGCUGGAAAUACUCUCAUUAGUACCAAGUUAUUUGUGCUAUUAGUUUUUUAGCCCUUGGAUUAAGAAAUAUGGCGUUAGGAUGAUGUGGACCCUCUAGGGUUGAGUGGGUAGUUGUUGAAUAGUAUAAUCUAACGGGUAAAAAUAAUCAAAGGGGUUAAUCUAACGACAGAAACUUGAUAGCACCAAGUACUUGGUGAUAUCGAUAGACAGCAGUCGGACUCUAUAUAUAUAUAUUAGAGUGAGGCUACUAUGCUUCUGAAAGCACAGAGCCUUCCGUGCUUCUAGGUUGUUUUUCGAUGUGCGACUUUCGAAUCAUCGAUCGCUCGUUAAACUUGAUCCAAUGUAUUUGAAGUACUUAGAAAAUAAAUUUUAUGAUUUUUCGAUAUCAUUUGCCUAGCGAUCGAAGGGGCUGAAAAUCAAAUAAUUUUAAUGGCCGUAGUGAGCCGUUUGCAAGUUUAACGGUGUAGAAAUAUCCAAAUCACGUGAAAUUUUGAUAGAAAAUUCUUUAUACUAUAUAAAACAAGAUCAAUAUCUUUGAUCUAAAAUUUUAAUGUCAUAUCAUCAUAUUUUGUAAGAUUUUUAUUUUCAGCCGUUGAUUUUGAGCCACUUCUAUCACUAGGCAAAUGAUAUAAAAAAAUCACAAAAUUUAUUUUCAAGCUACUUUGAAUACUCUAGAUCAAGUUUAACGGAGCCGAUUGACGAUUCGAAAGUCGCAACAUCGAAAAUGACCUGGAAGCACGGAAGGCUCCGUGCUUCUAG
This 3705-nucleotide long non-coding RNA is filed under the name Ananas comosus (pineapple). RNAcentral's name for it is "long non-coding RNA (ACOM_LNC028988)". The record is from RNAcentral. Lineage: Eukaryota; Viridiplantae; Streptophyta; Magnoliopsida; Poales; Bromeliaceae.